AUGAACUGGGUAAAUACAUUAAGGUCUCUCUCCCUGUCAGGAGAACCAUGGCCGAACUAUGUUUGGCUAGAAUGGGAUGCGGACGAUGAAGAAAUUCGCUGCCCACCCACCACCCACUUGGUAGCCACUGUCGACGACUUAACCGACAUGCUUAACUUCGACUCGGAAGACAUCAACGGCAUGAACAAAGAUGCAGGAGAUGAACAAGAACCAGCGCCCACAGGACGCCGGACAACCACUUCAUCACAUGACAUAUACAUGGUGGAUACACCCAAAGAGGGCAAUGGCGAAGAAACAGCGGAGGAUGCCCCCUCCAAGCAACCCAAGCGCCGACGUCAGCGGUGCCGCUCUAAGUCCCGCCAUAGCAAAAACAGCGAUAACAACGCAAGAGGAAAUAACAGUCCAGUCGACUCUGGAAGAAACGACGACUGCACCGCCCCGGUGGCAGAACACGAUCAAGAUGCAAACGGCGAACGUAGUGCGGAUCCAGCGUCCGAACACGGCGACGCCAAGGAUAAACCUCAUCAAACCCCGUCUGGGGAGGAAAACAGUCCGGACGAAGAUGCACACAUCAUCCCGGAAACGCACUUGGAGCAAGAGAACCUCCGCAGAAGGCUUAUUGCCACAGCGAGGAGCCUGAAGAAGCAGAAGGAAAUGCUUAAGGCCAUACAAGAUAUGCUCAACAACAGGUGGAACAAAGUGCUCGACAACGAAACAAAGUAUGGUGGAAGUUACCACACAAAUAGCUAUCCAAAGCGCAAGCUAUUACCUGAAUUCGACGAUGAGGCCUUAGAGCCCACACAACCGAAAAAUGAUACGGCCAACCAACCGGAUCCACCACCUUGUGACCGCGAUAGCGCGGCUAACAAAGUUGCACAUAAGUCAACACACGAUCUACGUGAGAACUUGCGCCAAAAAUCCGGCAUGACCAGAUCCAUUUAUGGAUCUAGGAAGCGCGCUCCGGCACAAAAUCAAAACCGAAUACUACAACCGUCCGAACACCACGGCAUAUCACAAUAUAGGGGUGCCGCACCCCCCCUAUGUUUCACCGAUGAGGUGCUGGAUCACAAAUUCCCAGAAGGAUUCAAACCAGUGAACAUAGAGGCAUACGACGGGACCACAGACCCUGGAGUCUGGAUUGAGGACUUUAUCCUCCAUAUUCAUAUGGCUCACGGAGACGAUCUCCAUGCCAUUAAAUACUAG
Molecule: ribosomal RNA, 1203 nt
Filed under: Triticum aestivum (bread wheat)
Lineage: Eukaryota; Viridiplantae; Streptophyta; Magnoliopsida; Poales; Poaceae
Description: partial small subunit ribosomal RNA
Source: RNAcentral